GACGAACGCUGGCGGCGUGCUUAACACAUGCAAGUCGAACGGAAAGGCCCUGCUUUUGUGGGGUGCUCGAGUGGCGAACGGGUGAGUAACACGUGAGUAACCUGCCCUUGACUUUGGGAUAACUUCAGGAAACUGGGGCUAAUACCGGAUAGGAGCUCCUGCUGCAUGGUGGGGGAUGGAAAGUGUCGGCGGUUGGGGAUGGACUCGCGGCUUAUCAGCUUGUUGGUGGGGUAGUGGCUUACCAAGGCUUUGACGGGUAGCCGGCCUGAGAGGGUGACCGGCGACAUUGGGACUGAGAGACGGCCCAGACUCCUACGGGAGGCAGCAGGGGGGAACAUGGCGCAGUGGCCCGACGCCUGAGACAGCAACGCCGCGUGCGGGAUGACGGGUUUCGGGUUGUAAACCGCUUUCGCCGGUGACGAAGCGUGAGUGACGGUAAUGGGUAAAGAAGCACCGGCUAACUACGUG
RNAcentral lists this ribosomal RNA (468 nucleotides) under uncultured bacterium. RNAcentral's name for it is "partial 16S ribosomal RNA". It matches the Rfam family "Bacterial small subunit ribosomal RNA", at positions 28 to 507 of the family's 1533-position model. The record is from RNAcentral.